UAUGAAAAAAAGAAUAGUAUAUAUUCUGUCGAGUAUCAUAUAGAGAAUAUGUUAAAAGAAACCAUAAGUGUCUUGAGUAAAGAUUGUGAAAAUUAUAUAAAUUUAAUAAUUUCGUCAAAAUGGAAUCCAUGGGAUACCGAAUUAGAUUUUCAACAACAUCGUAUUAUUGCUGAAGAAAUGCGUUCCAUAAUAAACGAAUGUGAAAGAAUUUACAAUCCAGCAGCGAAAGCGAAGUGCUUUACAACAUUGGAAAAAAUUUAUUACCGCUUAGAGAAAUUUACCAAACAUGUUCAAGGAUGUUGGCCACAUGUCUAUUUGUGGAUGUUGUAUGGAGGGAAAAAAGUUGCUUUUUAUCGGCUUGAUCCUAGAGAUAUCAUCUUUUCUGAAAUUGAAGAAGAGCAAGGACGGUUGUGCUCCGUUUUGCAUCAUACAUUCUUUGAGGUAGA
This is a long non-coding RNA of Agrilus planipennis (emerald ash borer), 446 nucleotides long. RefSeq lists it as uncharacterized. The transcript is spliced from 3 exons. Lineage: Eukaryota; Metazoa; Arthropoda; Insecta; Coleoptera; Buprestidae. The record is from RefSeq and is a predicted model, not a curated record.